AGCAGCCGCGGUAAUACGAAGGGACCUAGCGUAGUUCGGAAUUACUGGGCUUAAAGAGUUCGUAGGUGGUUAAAAAAGUUGGUGGUGAAAUCCCAGAGCUUAACUCUGGAACUGCCAUCAAAACUUUUUAGCUAGAGUAUGAUAGAGGAAAGCAGAAUUUCUAGUGUAGAGGUGAAAUUCGUAGAUAUUAGAAAGAAUACCAAUUGCGAAGGCAGCUUUCUGGAUCAUUACUGACGCUGAGGAACGAAAGCAUGGGUAGCGAAGAGGAUUAGAUACCCUCGUAGUCCAUGCCGUAAACGAUGUGUGUUAGACGUUGGAAAUUUAUUUUCAGUGUCGCAGUGAAAACAAUAAACACACCGCCUGGGGAGUACGACCGCAAGGUUAAAACUCAAAUGAAUUGACGGGGACCCGCACAAGUAGUGGAGCAUGUGGUUUAAUUCGAAGAUACGCGCAGAACCUUACCAACACUUGACAUGUUCGUCGCGACUCUAAGAGAUUAGAGUUUUCGGUUCGGCCGGACGAAACACAGGUGCUGCAUGGCUGUCGUCAGCUCGUGUCGUGAGAUGUUGGGUUAAGUCCCGCAACGAGCGCAACCCUUACUUUUAGUUGCCAUCAUUUAGUUGGGCACUCUGAAAGAACUGCCAGUGAUAAGCUGGAGGAAGGUGGGGAUGACGUCAAGUCCUCAUGGCCCUUACGUGUUGGGCUACACACGUGCUACAAUGGCAUCUACAACAGGAAGCAAAACGGCAACGUUAAGCAAAUCCCGAAAAGAUGCCUCAGUUCGGAUUGCACUCUGCAACUCGAGUGCAUGAAGCUGGAAUUACUAGUAAUCGCGGAUCAGCGUGCCGCGGUGAAUACGUUCCCGGGUCUUGCACACACCGCCCGU
RNAcentral lists this ribosomal RNA (886 nucleotides) under uncultured bacterium. Its description in RNAcentral is "bacterial SSU rRNA". It matches the Rfam family "Bacterial small subunit ribosomal RNA", at positions 510 to 1397 of the family's 1533-position model. The record is from RNAcentral.